RNAcentral lists this ribosomal RNA (437 nucleotides) under uncultured Clostridium sp. Its description in RNAcentral is "partial 16S ribosomal RNA". It matches the Rfam family "Bacterial small subunit ribosomal RNA", at positions 341 to 792 of the family's 1533-position model. RNAcentral also lists the same sequence under 1 other name. The record is from RNAcentral. Lineage: Bacteria; Bacillati; Bacillota; Clostridia; Eubacteriales; Clostridiaceae.
ACGGGAGGCAGCAGUGGGGGAUAUUGCGCAAUGGGGGAAACCCUGACGCAGCAACGCCGCGUGAUGGAAGAAGGCCUUCGGGUUGUAAACAUCUGUUGCAAGGGAAGAAACAAAUGACGGUACCUUGUGAGGAAGCCACGGCUAACUACGUGCCAGCAGCCGCGGUAAUACGUAGGUGGCGAGCGUUGUCCGGAUUUACUGGGUGUAAAGGGCGCGUAGGCGGGUGAGCAAGUCAGUCGUGAAAUACCGAGGCUUAACUUCGGGGCUGCGAUUGAAACUGUUCAUCUUGAGUGUCGGAGAGGAAAGCGGAAUUCCUAGUGUAGCGGUGAAAUGCGUAGAUAUUAGGAGGAACACCAGUGGCGAAGGCGGCUUUCUGGACGAUAACUGACGCUGAGGCGCGAAAGUGUGGGGAGCAAACAGGAUUAGAUACCCUGGUA